CCAAUGGUGGUUCAGUAGUAGAAUUCUCACCUUCCAUGUGGGAGGUCCCAGGUUCGAUUCCUAGCCAAUACA
RNAcentral lists this transfer RNA (72 nucleotides) under Loxodonta africana (African savanna elephant). It matches the Rfam family "tRNA". Rfam says of the family: Transfer RNA (tRNA) molecules are approximately 80 nucleotides in length. Their secondary structure includes four short double-helical elements and three loops (D, anti-codon, and T loops). Further hydrogen bonds mediate the characteristic L-shaped molecular structure. tRNAs have two regions of fundamental functional importance: the anti-codon, which is responsible for specific mRNA codon recognition, and the 3' end, to which the tRNAs corresponding amino acid is attached (by aminoacyl-tRNA synthetases). tRNAs cope with the degeneracy of the genetic code in two manners: having more than one tRNA (with a specific anti-codon) for a particular amino acid; and 'wobble' base-pairing, i.e. permitting non-standard base-pairing at the 3rd anti-codon position. Lineage: Eukaryota; Metazoa; Chordata; Mammalia; Proboscidea; Elephantidae. The record is from Rfam by way of RNAcentral.